RNAcentral lists this ribosomal RNA (393 nucleotides) under uncultured bacterium. RNAcentral describes it as "partial 16S ribosomal RNA". It matches the Rfam family "Bacterial small subunit ribosomal RNA", at positions 523 to 918 of the family's 1533-position model. The record is from RNAcentral.
AUACGGAGGAUGCGAGCGUUAUCCGGAUUUAUUGGGUUUAAAGGGAGCGUAGGUGGGAUAUUAAGUCAGCUGUGAAAGUUUGGGGCUCAACCUUAAAAUUGCAGUUGAUACUGGUUUCCUUGAGUACGGUACAGGUGGGCGGAAUUCGUGGUGUAGCGGUGAAAUGCUUAGAUAUCACGAAGAACUCCGAUCGCGAAGGCAGCUCACCGGGCCGGAACUGACACUGAUGCUCGAAAGUGCGAGUAUCAAACAGGAUUAGAUACCCUGGUAGUCCGCACAGUAAACGAUGAAUACUCGCUGUUUGCGAUACACGGUAAGCGGCCAAGCGAAAGCGUUAAGUAUUCCACCUGGGGAGUACGCCGGCAACGGUGAAACUUAAAUGAAUUGACUGGG